CCUGGCGGCACUAGCGCGGUGGUCCCACCUGACCCCAUGCCGAACUCAGAAGUGAAACGCCGUAGCGCCGAUGGUAGUGUGGGGUCUCCCCAUGU
RNAcentral lists this ribosomal RNA (95 nucleotides) under Klebsiella pneumoniae. Lineage: Bacteria; Pseudomonadati; Pseudomonadota; Gammaproteobacteria; Enterobacterales; Enterobacteriaceae. RNAcentral also lists the same sequence under 15 other names. The record is from RNAcentral.